Molecule: ribosomal RNA, 343 nt
Filed under: uncultured bacterium
Lineage: Bacteria
Description: bacterial SSU rRNA
Rfam family: Bacterial small subunit ribosomal RNA
Source: RNAcentral
AGGGUUCGAUUAUGGCUCAGGAUGAACGCUGGCGGCGUGCUUAACACAUGCAAGUCGAACGGGAAAUAUUUCAUUGAGACUUCGGUGGAUUUGAUUUAUUUCUAGUGGCGGACGGGUGAGUAACGCGUGGGUAACCUGCCUUAUACAGGGGGAUAACAGUCAGAAAUGGCUGCUAAUACCGCAUAAGCGCACAGAGCUGCAUGGCUCAGUGUGAAAAACUCCGGUGGUAUAAGAUGGACCCGCGUUGGAUUAGCUGGUUGGUGGGGUAACGGCCCACCAAGGCGACGAUCCAUAGCCGGCCUGAGAGGGUGAACGGCCACAUUGGGACUGAGACACGGCCCAG